This 433-nucleotide ribosomal RNA is filed under the name uncultured bacterium. RNAcentral's name for it is "partial 16S ribosomal RNA". It matches the Rfam family "Bacterial small subunit ribosomal RNA", at positions 29 to 507 of the family's 1533-position model. The record is from RNAcentral.
AACGAACGCUGGCGGCAUGCCUAACACAUGCAAGUCGAACGAGACCUUCGGGUCUAGUGGCGCACGGGUGCGUAACGCGUGGGAACCUGCCCUUAGGUUCGGAAUAACUCCCCGAAAGGGGUGCUAAUACCGGAUAAUGUCUUCGGACCAAAGAUUUAUCGCCUUUGGAUGGGCCCGCGUUGGAUUAGCUAGUUGGUAGGGUAAAAGCCUACCAAGGCGACGAUCCAUAGCUGGUCUGAGAGGAUGAUCAGCCACACUGGAACUGAGACACGGCCCAGACUCCUACGGGAAGCAGCAGUGGGGAAUAUUGGACAAUGGGCGAAAGCCUGAUCCAGCAAUGCCGCGUGAGUGAUGAAGGCCUUAGGGUUGUAAAGCUCUUUUACCCGGGAUGAUAAUGACAGUACCGGGAGAAUAAGCUCCGGCUAACUCCGUG